RNAcentral lists this ribosomal RNA (398 nucleotides) under uncultured bacterium. RNAcentral's name for it is "bacterial SSU rRNA". It matches the Rfam family "Bacterial small subunit ribosomal RNA", at positions 29 to 413 of the family's 1533-position model. The record is from RNAcentral.
AACGAACGCUGGCGGCGCGCCUAAUACAUGCAAGUCGAGCGAGAAGACGUAGCAAUACGUUUGUAAAGCGGCGAACGGGUGAGGAAUACAUGGGGUAACCUACCCUCGAGUGGGGAAGUAACUAGCCGAAGGUUAGCUAAUACCGCGUACGCUCCUCGGACUUCGGUUCAGGGAGGAAAGCGAUACCGUGGGUAGUCGCGCUCUUGGAUGGGCUCAUGUCCUAUCAGCUUGUUGGUGAGGUAACGGCUCACCAAGGCUUCGACGGGUAGGCUGGUCUGAGAGGACGAUCAGCCACACUGGCACUGCGACACGGGCCAGACUCCUACGGGAGGCAGCAGUAAGGAAUAUUGCGCAAUGGGCGAAAGACCUGACGCAGCGACGCCGCGUGGGGGAGUGAA